Molecule: ribosomal RNA, 484 nt
Filed under: uncultured bacterium
Lineage: Bacteria
Description: partial 16S ribosomal RNA
Rfam family: Bacterial small subunit ribosomal RNA
Source: RNAcentral
AUUGAACGCUGGCGGCAGGCCUAACACAUGCAAGUCGAGCGGAUGAAGGGAGCUUGCUCCUGGAUUCAGCGGCGGACGGGUGGGUAAUGCCUAGGAAUCUGCCUGGUCGUGGGGGAUAACGUCCGGAAACGGGCGCUAAUACCACAUACGUCCUGAGGGAGAAAGUGGGGGAUCUUCGGACCUCACGCUAUCAGAUGAGCCUAGGUCGGAUUAGCUAGUUGGUGGGGUAAGGGCCUACCAAGGCGACGAUCCGUAACUGGUCUGAGAGGAUGAUCAGUCACACUGGAACUGAGACACGGUCCAGACUCCUACGGGAGGCAGCAGUGGGGAAUAUUGGGCAAUGGGCGAAAGCCUGAUCCAGCCAUGCCGCGUGUGUGAAGAAGGUCUUCGGAUUGUAAAGCACUUUAAGUUGGGAGGAAGGGCAGUAAGUUAAUACCUGGCUGUCUUGACGUUACCAACAGAAUAAGCACCGGCUAACUUCGUG